This is a long non-coding RNA of Panicum hallii, 1007 nucleotides long. RefSeq lists it as uncharacterized. The transcript has 3 exons. The record is from RefSeq and is a predicted model, not a curated record. NCBI's taxonomy places the organism in Eukaryota, Viridiplantae, Streptophyta, Magnoliopsida, Poales, Poaceae.
UCUUGACCAAUUUGGCGAGUUGGCAGAUAUUUUCAUGGAGAGAUCGUGUUGAUGGGCGGUUUUCAUUUGCUGCAUUAUCCGCCGCGUGCCUCCCAUUCUUCUCCUCAGCAACCGCAGGUGGUGCCGCAGCGGGGGGAUCUCGUGUUGCUCGUCGGCAUCACCAGAUCGAGGCAAAGAGAGGAGGUGCGGCAGAUCCCGGCCAAGAACCGGCGGCGUGAUAGAUUGAGCACGACCAAGCGAGGUGCAGGUCUGCACAGAUCAGUUCCGGCCCUCGAGGCUGGGAGCUGGCGUGCCUCCCCGGCAUGUGUGAUGCAGACGGCGGCGCGGCGCACGGCCUCCUGCCCGGAUUCCAAUCUAGACGCUGGGAAUCCACAACGGAGCCAUCUAGAGUCUCUGCACACAAGUCCCCUCCCUCCAAUUCAUUCUUUCCGGACAAUUUUUCGAUUUGGUGUUAGUGUCAGAUUUCAUGCCUGUUCCUCCUGCUGAGCUAGCCGCCGGUGGGUCUGCUGCUCAUCCUGAAAGGAAACGCAGUGCUGAUGCUUGAUGGAUUUAUGACUGGGCAAGUCGAAAAGGUACUAGUUUCACCAAAGGUGUACAUCCAGCCAGCACUACAGCUUCAAAUGUGCAUCAUGUGCAACCCGAGAAAAACUCGCUAGUCUAACCCAUAAAUUGGGGUAAAUGAAGUAAGUAAAAUGUUGUUACUCUACAAUGAAGAGUUGUGUGAUGAAGACAACUGGAAGCACAUGUUGAUUUUGACUAUAACUGUGUAUUUGAUCUAAAGCUGCAUUGGUGAGUUUUCUUGUUUUGUAUGUUACGGCAGGUCAGCUGAAGUUUUUCCUUAAAACUUUUCAUCUGCAGCGCUGCCGCUCUGACGAUCUGGCUGAGUUCGGUUGAAAGGAGGCAAAUACUGUCACUUUUAGUUAUCUCGGAUAGGUAGUGUAAUGGUAAUCCUAUGAUUGGAAUUUUUCUUUGCUCAUUCGUGUACGAUCUUCUGAUCCGUGUACAUA